CCUAAAAUCCCGCCCGUUGGUGCUCGCGGCGUGGUUCGCACGGCGCAGUUCAACGGGAAGCAGGAGUGGACGCCCCCCGGGGUCGAAGCCGCCUGCGCUGCCCCCGCAACGGUCAAGCAGACGACGCCGCAAGGCGUCACCCCUUUCCAUCCAGCCACUGGGCGCUCUGAAACAGGCGCCUGGGAAGGCGGCAAGGGGCGAUCUGCCAGCCCGGAUACCGGCCAACAAGGCGGCUGCCGC
Molecule: non-coding RNA, 240 nt
Filed under: Variovorax sp.
Lineage: Bacteria; Pseudomonadati; Pseudomonadota; Betaproteobacteria; Burkholderiales; Comamonadaceae
Source: RNAcentral